Molecule: ribosomal RNA, 397 nt
Filed under: uncultured bacterium
Lineage: Bacteria
Description: partial 16S ribosomal RNA
Rfam family: Bacterial small subunit ribosomal RNA
Source: RNAcentral
AUACGUAGGGGGCGAGCGUUGUCCGGAAUGAUUGGGCGUAAAGGGCGCGUAGGCGGCCCGGUAAGUCUGGAGUGAAAGUCCUGUUUUUAAGAUGGGAAUUGCUUUGGAUACUGUCGGGCUUGAGUGCAGGAGAGGUAAGUGGAAUUCCCAGUGUAGCGGUGAAAUGCGUAGAGAUUGGGAGGAACACCAGUGGCGAAGGCGACUUACUGGACUGUAACUGACGCUGAGGCGCGAAAGUGUGGGGAGCAAACAGGAUUAGAUACCCUGGUAGUCCACGCGGUAAACGAUGAAUGCUAGGUGUUGCGGGUAUCGACCCCUGCAGUGCCGGAGUAAACACAAUAAGCAUUCCGCCUGGGGAGUACGGCCGCAAGGUUGAAACUCAAAUGAAUGGGCGGGG